UACGUAGGAGACGAGCGUUGUCCGGAAUUACUGGGCGUAAAGCGCGUGUAGGCGGAUGGGCAAGUCUGCUGUGAAAGCUCCUGGCUUAACCGGGAGUGGUCGGUGGAAACUGCCAAUCUGGAGGACGGUAGAGGUAGGUAGAAUUCCGCGUGUAGCAGUGAAAUGCGUAGAGAUGCGGAGGAACACCGAUGGCGAAGGCAGCCCCCUGGGCUAGCACUGACGCUCAGGCACGAAAGCGUGGGGAGCAAACAGG
RNAcentral lists this ribosomal RNA (253 nucleotides) under uncultured bacterium. Its description in RNAcentral is "partial 16S ribosomal RNA". It matches the Rfam family "Bacterial small subunit ribosomal RNA", at positions 524 to 776 of the family's 1533-position model. The record is from RNAcentral.